UUUUCCAAUGGUCAUGCCAUUGAUAUGAGCCCAUGUUAGAGCAUAACCUUCUGUCCUUGUAGACCCUAGUCCUGGUUCACACUCUGAGUGGAUGCAGUCCUUAACAAAGUAACUGGUAUAGUGGUUUACUCCAAUGAAAUCUAUUGAAGGUUUCAGUUUUUCAAGCUCAUAUGGAACUGGUGGAAGGUCUUUUCCCAAUAUUUCACGCAUUUCCCUUGGAUACUCCCCUCGGAUAGCUGGGUCCAAAAACCUACAUGUUUCAUUCACCACCAUAACACAAUCUUCAAGAGCCCAUGCAUGAACAACAUGCAUUCAUGCAUAUUCACAAAAUAUAAUAAAGCUAUUUACCAAUUCAUAUAAAAUGCUUGAGCUCUCUCAGCAGCUAUCUUGUCUUCUGAGGAGUUGCUGAUGGGUUCAAACCACAUAGUAUGCACUGCCAGUCCAAUUUUCCCUCCCUGUUUUUUCUGCCAUUCAAACGUUUCGCGUAAGAUUGCUGAUAUUUGGACAACUACAAGUUUUAAACUCUUUAUUCACACUACCUAUUUCUCCCCCUCUAUCUUUUAUAACUAACCUUCCAUAAGAACAGAAUUUCAAUAUAUAAUUCUAAAAUUAUUAUUUUUAAUUCUGAGAUUAAUAAUGUCACACUAAUCAAAGUAUAUGAAAAAAUAUUUAGGUAACAUAGAAAACUCAUAUAUCUUACCUGAUAUUUGGUUCUGUAGAGACCAACUAUAGAGGCAUGGGCUAAGAGAAAGUUAGAACCUACAAUAAAAGGUUCCUUCUCUGAGUUCCCACCAACGGAACAAUUCCCGAAUGAACCAGAACAGCGACCAGGUGGCCAUAUCCCUAUUCUAUAGCCACGAAUAAAUGCAACGUUUGGUUCAUUAAAUGUGAUCCAGUAUUUCACUCUGUCACCAAAGUUCUUGAAGCAUAUGUCUGCAUAAUACUUGAAAUCCUCCCUACAAAAAUCAACGUUACAUUUACCAUAAUAUUCGUGACCACACUCUUUUAUUCUACUUUUAUGUGUUGGUAUCAGAAGUACUUACGCAAUCUUAGGACUUAGCCAACCGUCAUAUCUAUCCACAAGUUCUUGAGGAAUAUCAUAAUGUGAUAUUGUGACAAAAGGUUCUAUUCCUAAAUCAAACCAGAAAAGAAGAGUUAGAGAUAGAAAAAGUAUAUAACAAUAGUGAUAACAAAAGAAUGAAACCUCUGGAGAGAAGUGUGUCGAUUAGCCUGUUAUAGUAAUCAAUCCCAGCCCGAUUCACCUUGCCGAAUCUACCCUCUGGAUCAAAUUUGUAAUGUAAUAUUAGAGAUAGAAAAAGUAAAUGCAGCUUGUUAUUUUUAAGGAUUCAAAAUUAUUACAGUCUUAACCUUUCAAGAUAAUUAAAUUAACUAAUGUUUUCAGCUUUUGAUGCAAUAUUAAUUAUUGUAUUUAUAAUUUCUUUUCAGCAAGUUACAUCAAUUCAAUAUUUGUAUUUUCAACUGAUAAUAAGACCAGUGUUUGAGAAGAUUAUUUUAAUGUCAACAAAAGUUCAGAAUUAUGAUAUGUGAGAAUGAGAUUGUACAAUUAAAAUUUUAAGAAAUUAAAAUGAAAAAGUUUGAUUAAUUUUUUAAUAAAAAAGAAAACUUACUGGGGAGAAUUCUGGCCCAUGAUAAUGAAAACCGAUAACUGUUGACUCCAAUGUAAUCCAUAAGAUCCACGUCUUCCUGUUUUUUAACUCAUAUCCAUUGAACAAUUAGUUGAAUUGUAUCACUCAAAUUAAUUAAGACCAAAAAAAUCAUGCAUAUAUUAUACUUAACUUUAAAUCUAAUUUCAAUCUAACUAUUUAAAUUUAUAUUAUAUUUAACUCGAGCUUUAGAUUAAUUUUUUAAAGAUUCAAAUCAUAUUUUAGUCAUAUCUCAACACUAAACUCUUAAAAAGUAUAUCAUUCACUCUUACAGAAGUCACACACCUAUUAAAAUAUUCAAAUGGAAUAACAAUCACCAUUUCUUAGAAGUAUUUCAAUCGACGCAACUAAAAGUUUGACCUUGGAUCCGUGUAAAGUUCCGUCAUGCUUCUUUUCCUUAUUCUAAUUGGAUUUUGGAUCCUUUAACUUGUGUGAGGUUGGUUCAUUAAUGUAGUUAGAUAUUUGUAUUGGUAUCACCUUUGUCUAUCUGGUAGGAAUUACUAGUUAAAAGAAUAGUAAUGUGUUUUUCUGUAUAAGGGUUGUAUCACUUAACUUUCAUUUAUUUAUUUUUUAUUAUUGAUAAAAAAAAAAUCAUCAUUCCUAAUUUCACAUUAAACAUGCAUUAAAUAUUAAAAACUAAUUUAUUUUGAAAACUAUCAAUUAACUACAAAUGUUUAUGACAUAUAAAAAGUGUCAAUAGGUUUUUAUUGUGAAAACUAGUUUUAGUAAAUAUGGAGCCAUUUUAAAUUAUUUUAGAUUUAAAAUCAAUAUCAAACUAAUUUUUAAACAUUCAACCUAUUUUAUCUUUAAAAUAUAAAAAAAAAUCAGUUAAAUAAUUUAUAUUUAAAUUAGAAAAUUCUAAACUGAUCAUUUAAAAAAUAUAAAUAUAAAUUUAUCUAGAUUUGAAUUGGAUUUUUGAAAUUAAGGCAACCACAGUAAUGCAGGUUGCCCAUGACAUAGACUCAUUUAACGUAAAGAUGCAUUCACCCAAAUCAAUAGCUCUUUCUUUGACUUUUGUGCCAUCUUUAAUCAGAUCCACAUCUUUUUUCUUUUAAAUUUUAAUAUCCACCUACAUGCCUUUUUUCUGAAAAAUUAUUAUAGUUUCAAUUUUUUUAAAAACAAAUUUAGUUCAUUAACACUCUCACUUUAUUGAAACAUUAGUUUUUUUUUUAUAUUUUACUUAUCUUUAAAUUAAUUAUUUUUACGUAUUAAUAAAAAUAAUUUUUUAUGAAGGCAAUUAUUUUAAGGAGAGAUAUGUUUGGAGACAAUAGGGUGCAGAUAUUUUACACAUUUAUGUUAUUUAUUUGUCUCUCUUAUUGAAUGGAGCAACUUUUGGAGUCUCUCAAGAAUGGGUACCCAUAAAUGCUGGUUUGGGUGGAUAUAUGAUUUUUUAUUAAAGUUAUGUAUGAAUCAUAACUUUUUGUGUGUGUAAUAAACCAUCUCUGAAAUGUUUCACAAUUAUUCUAUUUUUUUAAUAAAAAAUAUUAUACUAGCAUUAUCAUGAUCACCAUAAAGUUAAUAUAACUAUUAAAUCCAUCAAAAAGCAUUAGACAUUAUAUAUUUAUUGGCACCAAAUAGAAGAAACAAUAGAAAUUGACAUCUUAUCUUUAACUAAAAAUAUAUGAAUUAAAAAUAUUAUAUUUCUUUAUCUAAUAUUAAAUUGUAGGUUUACCAGUCAUUUCAACUUAUUUAAGUACGGUCUAUAUUGAAAUGAAAAUCUAACAACUAAAAAAUUAUUUUUGAUUUUAGACUAUAUUUGUUUUAAGCUUAACUUGUUAAAUUGCAAGGUCUAGUUCAAGCCACGUAUUUUAUGGAUUACGAUUCUUUUUAAGUCCAACUUGUUCUUAUAUAAAAUCGCCGAAAUUGGUUCCAUUUCAAAAUAAAUAAAUAAAUAAUAAAAAUAAUUUAGAUAAAUAAAUAAAUAAUAAAAAUAAUUUAGAUAAAAAAUAAAUAAUAAAAAUAUUUUUUAAAAUUUAAUUCUUAUAAAUAAAACUAAAUUUAUUAUUACAUGUAAAUUUAUAUAAAUUAUAAUAUAUUUACACAUAUUUAACGGAAAUAAUGUUAUUCAAUUACUUUUAACUUAAAUUAUUUGUUCUCAUCAACCUACCUGCAUCCAUUUGAUUCGAUGUACUAAAUAAAACAACCUUAAUUUGAAUUCUGUUAUUUUUUUUAUCCAACCCAAUUUUAUUUAUCGACCUUGUUAGAUUAUGUUUACUUUGAUAUCUCCCCCUAGAUUGCAUGUGGUUAAACGAGUUAGUCAGAAAUCAAGAGUAAAAUAUAAAUAAAAUAACAGUCACUAAAUAAACAAAUAUUGACUUCUCCUCUUUCAAUGGACUUUAGUUGCUAAUCAUUGUUUAAUUUCAUGUAUGAUAAAGUCCAAACAAAAGAUGUUGGAUUGAAUUGAAACAAGGAACCAAAUUUGUUUAAAUCCGCAAGUUAUGUGGACUUCACUGAAAAGGACUCAUUUAUUUAGGUUCUACAUUAAGCUCACAAAUAUAUUUUUAAAACUAAAAAUUGAAUAAUGGUGCCCACAAUUAAAAAUAAAGGAUGAGAAUUGCAUAAAAUUUAAAACUAAAGUUAUAAACAAUUAAAAUUAUGGAGUUUAAAUUUAAAAAAAAAAAUACUAAAACGACCGAUUUUAUAAAAUAUAAGUAUAAAAAUUACAAAUAAAUCUAAAUAUUUUAAAGUGAAAAGUGAUGGAAGACACUGGAAGCUUUCAAACACACAUCCUUCAAAUUAUAAUUGAGGAUUGUGUUUUCUUUUAAUAAACUGAUAAUUAUUUGUGUCAUAAGUUUUCCUUGAGAAACAAAGCGUUUAUGUGUAUUUAGACUGUGUAGAGAUUUGAGAUAGUAGAUUUAGAAUAAUUUGAAUAGAAAGUGUGAAAAAUAAAAUUGUUUGAAUUGAAAUAAGUUAAAAUGUUUUUGUGAUUAUUUUUAAAAUUUAUAAGUGAUAUUGAGAAUAAAGAAAUGAAGUGAUGUGAAUUUUUUUUAUUUUAUUAUAAUAUAAUAUGAAUAUGAAUAUGAAUAUGAAUAUAAUAUAUAUUUAAUAGUUUGUUAUAUAUAUAUAUAUAUAUAUAUUUUUUUAUUUUUUUUUUUUUUGAAGUGUAAUUCUUCGUAAAUUUGAAGAAAAAAAAGCUGAAUUAUUUUUAUCUCAUUUUCUGUUUUUUUUUUUUUUGUAAUUUAUGGCCUUUUUCUUCUUCUUAUCAGUCGUAGUAAACAUGACAUUAGUGAGGCAGAAAUAGAAGUAAGACGAUGAUACCUUAUAACGAUGGUAAUGAUCAUCAGCAACAUCACCAUUACUUCCAUCAAUUACAGCUCCUGAAAUGGUAGAAGGAUGUACUAUAGUAUAAAAGUCCAACAAAUGUUAACCUAAAUUUAUUAUAUAUAAAUAUAUAUAUAAAGAUAUUUUGGAAAUAGAAGAAAAGAAUUUAGGAAAACCCUAGUUUAAUAAUAAGACUAUUUAUCAAUUUAAAAGAUAGUUGAAUGAGGAAAAAAAAAUAGAGCAGAAAUUUAGAAAACCUACUUAGUAGUCUUAGUAUUAGUAUUUUGUAGGUUUAAUGAUAGUUAGUGUUACCAGUGUUUUUACCGAUCUAGAUCUAUCAUUGGUAUUUUCAUUCACGUUUACCUAAAUAAAAUAUUAAACAUUAAACUUCAUUCUAAAGUGCCUAUGUCCUAUGGAAGAAAUCCUAAAAAUUCCCACCAACAACUCCAACACCGGCACCACUCUAUCAGCGCCGCCCAGUGCCGCCAGCCUUCGCGCACACUAGGUCAGACGCCACAACACCGCUCGCGCUCCAACCGCCGCGCCGUCCAGUGCCGUCAGCCUCCGCGCACGCCAGGUCAUACGCCGCAACAAGAGCAAGCGCCAACCCUAGCAAACCCAAAACACUCCCGCGGCCCAAAUUCCUGUUGCGCGGCCUAAUUUUCUGCUGUACCCUGCAGCCCAUUUCUUGCUGCACCCUAUCACUACCAAAACACUCUACCCCACAAUUAAACAAAUGCUCAAACGGUCCAACCCUAGCCCAGCAAGCACCAGCGGUCCAAUUACGAUUAAGAUCCCAUUUUGAAGGAUAAAAUGUUUUCUGGGACAAAUAGUAAUAUUAGGAUAGACCAAUAGUAAGAUAUUCUUGAAAUAAAAGAGAAGAGAAGAAUUUGGUAAUAAUAAGACUAUUUAGGCUUAGAAUUAGUUAAUCAUAGUAUAACCCUUUACUGUUAUAUCACCAUCCAUCUAUAUUUAUCAAUUUAAAAGAUAUUUGAAUAGGUUGAAGUUAGAGAUUUAGAUUUUGUUUGUAUAGAAAAUGAGGAAAAAAAAAACAGAAAUUUAUAAAACCUAGUUACUAGUCUUAGUAUUUUGUAUGCUUAAAGAUAGUUAGUUAUAGUAUAGGUAGGAGUGUUUUUACUGUUGUAUCAAAGCAUGUACCAUUUGAUUCUUUUUUCAAUAAACAAUAAGUAUAUAUUAUACAAAAAUAAUAAUGAGUAAGAAUGUGAACCUGGCUUAUGGGUGAAAACGUCCCAGUUAUUUAGCCCCUUUCCAUCACUCAAGUAAGCUCCCUCAAUCUGCAAAAUUAUUCAUUAUUUCAAAUAUGCCAAGCUACGAUCACACAACUAAUUUGUAACUUCAUCUCACAAAAUCAGUUUGAAAGAUGAAAUAUGAACAUCUUGAGUGUGGAAAUGUGAAUGAUGUAACAAAAUUAUAGAAAGAGUUGCAGAAAAGAACCUGAUAUGAAGAAGAUGCAGUUCCAAAAAGAAAGUUGGUUGGAAAUGGAGAGGAAGUUGAAUGGUCUUUGAGGGAUAGAAAAUCAGCAGCACCCAAUCCCAAGAAAAUGGAGAUAGAGAAGCUUAGUGCAAAGAGUGGUAGGAGUGGAACUUCCAUAUUUUCUGUGUUUAAGGGAAUGUCGACUCACACAUACUUAUAUAUAAGCACAUUGCCCAUUACCAACCAAUAGAGAGCAUAACGUCUGAGAAGUGAUGAAGCUAAUCAAGGGACAUUCAUGGAUCACAAGGACUAUUUUGUCAUUUGCCUGUGGUCUUGAGAUGGGCGCUUUAAUAUUAUUCUAGUAAAUAUUCAAUUUCCACCUAAAAAAUAGUGCACUAGAUAAUAGCUCUUCUAUUCAAAUUUUCAUGUAUAUUGGUUUUUCAUUUAUACUUGUAUCUAAUAAUAGCCCCUUGUAAGCAUAUAUAUUAGUUUUGUUUUAUGAUAGUAUGAAAUUGAGAAUCUGUGUUUCAUGAUUUUGGAAAUGAUUAUUUAUCAAAUAUGAAAGAGACCCGUUUAACUUUUUUAAAUGAAAAUAUAAAUUAAAAAAAUAUUAUAAGAUGUUUUUCAUUUCAGUUUGGUUUUUGUCAUUUUAAUUUUAAUUUUUUUUUAGUUUCUAUGAUUAACUUUUGUGUUAAACCUAACAAUAACGAUGUUACUUUAAAUUCACAAUCGUGUGUGUUUAUCGUUAUUUUGUUAAGGGUUGAGCUGUUCUUGUUCUAAUCAUGGCGGAGACCACACUUGUGUAGGGUCCAACACAAGCACCAUGCAAAAAUUUAAAAAUAUAUCAUAAAAAUUAUCUUUACAUUUAUCAACAUUUCUUUCUAAUAAUUUAUUUUCUGAUAUUUUUCUUUUCGAAGGCGAUUCAUCGUAGAUACUCUCAGGUAGAAUUUUAUUUAAUCUAUGAUAUAAUUUAUAAGAAUAAUAAACGAAAUAUUUAUAUUGAUGUGCACUUUCUGUUAAAAGGAAAAAAAGUUGUUGACGAAGCAAAAACGUGAUUGGUGAUGAUAUUAUAUUGGGCUAAAUGUUAACGACACGUUUUUUUUAAUUCUUUAUUUGAAAUUAAUUAAAAAAAUAUUAUUUGUUAAUAUAAUUUCAAAACCUAGAGAAAUAAAUGUAAUAUGAAAUCCACUAAAAUUAAUAUUUUUCAAUAAAUUUAUAAGUUAUAAAAAUAUUUUUUUACAAAAUGUAUAGCCUACAUUCCUCUCGGUGUAGUUGAUACCAACUUUGUUACCUAAAACGAAAAAUCUUAACAAGUUAUUUAUUUAUUUGUGUUUCUUCCUUUGGUAUUUUAUUUAUUUAAUUUAUCUUGUAAUAAAAAAAUAAUAUUAUUAGAAAUUUUAUUAAUAUAUAAAUUUUGUAAAGAGGAAAUUAAUUUGUCAAAAAAUAUAAGGGAUUUAAAUGAGAUGAAGGAAAUAAAAUAUAAAUAUUCUAUUAUUUAAGUUUAAAAAAAACUUAUAAAAAAAUUAAUUAUUUAAACUUAAUUUUAUAAAAAUUAUCAUCUCUUUAAAAUAUUUUUUUAGGCGGAUAGGCUUGCACUUAUGACUGCUAGAAUCAUUUCUCCUAAUUAAUAUGAGUUUGUGCAGGAUAGGCAGAUUUAUGAUUGCAUUGGUAUUUCUUCUAAAGCUAUUAACAUGUUUUCUAAAAAGGUUAGAGGAGGUAAUGUGACUUACAAAGUUGAUAUUCAUAAAGUCUUUGACACUCUGAGUUGGAAGUUAUUAUUAUUAGUUUUGACACGCUUUGAUUUUCACCCCUCGUUUGUCGGUUUGAUUAGUACAAUUCUUCGUUCAAUUAUGCUUUCUAUCAGAAUAAAUGACAGUUUGGUGGAUUUUUUUCCUUGCAGUAGAGGUGAAAGACAAUGAUCCUUUUGUCUCAUUUACUUUUUUAUCUUGCUUAGAAAGUUCUUAGUAGAGGUAUCUCUAAGCUUAUGAAUGAUAAGACAAUUUUACAUAUGACUAAUCCGUAAGGUUAUCUCACUCCCUCUCAUAUUUUAUAUGUUGAUGACAUAUUUGUUUUUUGUAGGGAGAUAUUAAGUCUCUAAGAAAUUUUAGUAUUUUUCUUAAAACAUAUAUGGUGAUUUUUUUGGAUAAUAUGUUAAUAACUCUAAAAGUAGUUUUUUCAUCAUGGAUAAUUCUACAAGAUUUGUUACAAAAAUUCAACAUAUUAUUUUUUAUAGUCAUGCUUGUUUGUCUUCAAUUAUUUAUGAGUGUUUAUCUUUGUUGGUGCUUAACCUUUGAUUGAUAAAGUCAAAUUGAAGUUAGCAUCUUGGAAAGCUAGAGUAGAGUUAAACGUUUGUGAUGUUGAUGUUAGUGAUUGAUGAAAUGAGAUAUAAAAUUUAAAAUUUAGACAAUAGAAAGUGAACUUAGAGUUAGACACUUGAUAUAUGUUUAGUGAAUAAAUUGAAUAUGUAACAUAAGAGUAUAUAGAUAAUUUGUAAAUAAAUUUUAUAAAUUAUGGAUAUAUAUAUAUAUAUACUAAAUUACCUUUUUAUUAUUAUGUGGUUUAUAUUACGAUGUUAGUAUAAUAAUUGUGUUCUUACAUAAAAAUAUAUGUUAUGAUUAAAUAUUAAGUGAUGUAUGUAUAGAACUUCGUGAAGAGAAAAAUAAAAUUACUUAAAAUGUAAAAUACUAGUAUGUAUGAAUAUAAAGUAAAUGUAACAUUUUUUGGGUGUUUCAAAUUUCAUCCAUCUAUUAUACAUAAAAUAUAUUGAUAAUGGAAGACUAAAUCUUUCUUAAUUAACAUAAAAAAGAUAUUGAAAAAUUGACGUAAAAUAUUUAUGAUUAUGCUAAUUUUUUUCAUUAAUUCUUUGUUACUAUAGCGAAGAUGCUGUUUUAAUAAAAUCAAAAUAUUUUUUUAUUUUGUGUAAUGUUACUAUUUUUAUUCAUGUAAUUAAAAUGUGUAAGCUAUUGUGGGCGUGAAUAACUAUAGAUAGUUCCACUAUUAUCAACAGCCCAUUCCACGUGCACCCGCUUCCCAGCCUCGAAAUAUCUGCCCAACAACCGACAAUCACUUUUUUAUAAAAUAUCUUUGUGGUACGGAAGUUCAAUAAUUUCUCAAAGAAAACAUUUCUUAAAUAUAAAAAAAUUAUAAACCCUAAAUAAUAGGAUACGUCUAAAUAAACCUCAUACUUUGAAAGAUAUAGAAAAUUUGUUGACAAAUUUAUUUAUUAUAUUUGUCUUGUCUUUUGCUAUUCAUCUGGUUGGUCAUUUUAGGUAAGCUCAUUGUCUUGUUCAUGAGAAUAUUGGCAUUAUUUCACAUAUUUAAAAAAGAGAGAGAAACACUUAUAUGUACUUAUAUGUUAUAUGAAGAUAAGAGAAAUACAUGGAUGUGUGAUUAUUAUGAUGAUUUGAUAAGAUAUCUCAUUCAGAUAUUCCCAUGUUAGAUAUUUUCGUUUUAAGGUUUUAGAACAUAACUAGUAACUUAACUACACAAGGUUAAAUAUUUUUUUUUGCAAUUUAAAGAAAAUGUCUUAAAUAUGAGUUUUGUAGAAAAUUUAUUCUCGAUGUCUCAAUAAUACAAAAUACAAAAAAAUUAAUUGUAAUAAUCCUAUUAAUUUGAAUCAUGACGAGAAUUAACACAUUUCUAUAAAUAUAUCGAUCAAUCUCAAAUUAAAGUUUAGACUUAAUAAUAUUUAUUAAUCUUAAUUAUCAAAUAUUAGAAACUAACUUGAGUGUUGGAGAAUCAAACACUUCUCCUAUUUUGAGUGAAAAUUGAAAAUCGAGACAUUUAUAAUAGAACGGAUAUCAAAGAGACUCAAAAAUAGAAUUAACAUUAAGAACGAAAUCUUCCUAACUUAUAUAAAAACAUAUGAUAUUAUUUAGUUGUCACCUUGUAUAAAUAAAAUAAUUCUUAUAACGAUUAAGACUUUUGUGAUUUUGUUUAAGAUAAGUUGUUCUUGAAAUAAAUUUAUAUAAAAUUUAUUAGUAAAUAUAUUUUUACUAAGUUAUUGAGAAAAUUUACAAUUUAUAUUUUGAAACAUAUUUUUAUGAAUACAUAAUUAGGUGGAGCUUUUCUCUCAUAUUUUCAUUCUGAAAUCUACAUUUUUGCAUCAUAACAAAAUUCUAAGCUAAUGUAACGCCAAGGCCAUAAAUAAGUAUUUUGGAGAUAUAUGAAUACUACAAAAUUUCUGAAAUGGCAUUAAAUUAAUACGAAAACACCAUGACAGACAGUUCUUAGUUAGUUAGGAUUGAAAGGUUGUUUGUCUUUUCGUUUCACCAUCUUCGGUAGGCUUUCUGUCCGUUCACUUUCAUCCUUAUCAAGAAACAAUGGUAUUACGAAAGUAUUAAAUAUUAAAUAUAGUUACAUAAACAAAAAUAAUUUAUAUAUUUUGAUUGAUUUGAGGUAUGAUGCUCAGUAUGUACGGAGAAAAAUAUGUAGCAGGAUUCAGUAUUCAGGGUGAGCUUCAUGGUGAUGUAUGAUUAUUUUAAUAUGCUAGCCUUGAAUGGAUUAUUCCUUAGUUGAUACAUGGUUAUGUGCAUGCUGUGAUGUACGGUGAGCGUUAUAGCACCUUUUCUAGCAGAGUCAAGUGUGAACAGGUAAACCAGAGGAUAAGACAUUCACCGAAAACUUGUUAUAACAUCUGAAUAGGACGUGUUAUUAAUGUCUUUGUAUUGUAUUUUGCCGAUCUCUGUCGCCAAUUGGGCCAGGAUGGCUAACAAUUGCUUGCACGAAAAUGCUAGUGAUUAUGGAGUUAUCUUCAAACUAUUUUAAUCAACAUCAUCAAUAUUUUAACAGAUAUUCCUCAAUUAUUGUUCAUCAACGAUUUUAGGUUUCACUGGUUCUCAUGAUUACAUGCAUUUCUAAGAGUAUGUUAUCACUUCCUCCAAUGAGUUCUCCUUCAUUGUUUUUCACUCCCAAGAUAGACCUUGAUGUUCCAUUUACUGCAUUCACCACGAAAUAUUUAUGUAGAUGAUUUCUAUUUACUAUUGUUCUAACUAACUCUUUUUACAACAUAUUUUUCCUUAUAAUUUAUUGUGUUUGAAGUUUAAGUGUGGCAAGUUUAUCAUCAAUUUACAAACUUCUGAUUUUAUAUUUAUUUUAACAGAUAAAACUUUUCAUUAAAUUUCAAGUAAUGGAUAUAUGUAGUGAACAGAUUGCAGUAGAUUGAAGCCCAAAAGUCUAAAGAAAACAACACCGAAUACACACUUUAACUUCUUCAACCCAUUAAUUUCUUGACUCAUAUAUUUCAGAAAGUUGAUUCCCAAAUAAGUGAGAGGUGACCCUAAAAACUAACGAGGUACAGGAAGAUAUAUCAUAAUAUAGAACUAAGAAGGAAUUAUAUGCAGUCCUUCAUCCAUGCUUCUAUUCUUCCUUGAAAGUAAAUUGUAUAUCAUUCCAUUAAUUCUUUGUCAUUCUUGAGUAUGUGGAGGUUUCAUGCCUGGGCCAGAGGCAUGAAGAGCAAUGAAGUUUUUGUACCAAGAAGCAGACAUUCUUGGAGUUCUUUGGAGAGUGUCAUAGUCCACACGAUGAAGUCCAAACCUUAUAGAGGAUCCCUCCGUCCACUCAAAGUUGUCAAGCAAAGACCACAAAAAGUACCCUCUCACGUCUGCUCCUUUCCUGUUCAUGCAACAACAAACAUUUUCUUGACCAAAAGGGCUCAUCCUGUUCUUGCUUUCUAAUCACUUAUUUCAUAAUAUGUUAUCAAGACAAAAAAAAAAUUGUGCAAGUUUUGGUGUGUAUAUUUUUCAGACUAAUAUGGGUAUGUGAACACCUUAUUGCUGUUGCCAAGGAAUCCAAGUAAGCACGCAAGUACUCCACUCUUUCCACAUCAUUGAUCAUUUCUUUAGUGGUGAGGUUGGAGUUCUCCCUCAUCCCAACUCCUAUGCAAGACAAUAUAUACAAUUCAAAAUCAAUAUUUCAAACUAGGUUGUGUCUUUACUCUCAUGUUAUUCUCCAUGUAACAGCUAAUAAAGUUUUAUCAAUUCUUUCUAACAAGUUCAAAAACUCCACCAAAUGUCAUGGAGAUUGACCAAAGCAAUAUACAUUUGCAUACAUACAUAAUAUAUGCCUUUUAUUAUAAGAUAUUGUUUUAAAAAAACCAACAGCCCUUUUUUUGUAAAGCAUUUUAUAGAAGCAUUGAUUGUUUUCUUUGUUAGAAAUGUUUUGUAUUAAAGAUUGGAGGGAAGAGUGAUGUGUAUUUCUACUCACCAUUUUCAGUAAUGAACAUUGGUAUGUUGUUGUACCUCUCCUUAAUGUAAGUCACAAUCUUCUCCAUGCCUUGUGGGUAAACAUACAACCAGUGAAGCGAAGUCUGCAUACAUGAACUUCAUAUGCUUAACAUUAUUUUCCAAAUUGAAGGUGCAUGGUCUUCGAUCAAGAAAAGCUAUAUAGAGGGUUUCAUAUACACACACCGGUUCUCCAAUGCUCAUGCCAUUCAUUUUAGCCAAUUUUAGAGCAAAACCUUCUGUCCUUGUAGACCCUAGUCCUGGUUCACACACUGAGUGGAUGCAAUCCUUUACAAAGUAACUAGUAUAGUGGUUUACUCCAAUGAAAUCUAUUGCAGGUUUGAGUUUUUCCAGGUUAUAUGGAACUGGUGGGAGGUCUUCUCCCAAUAUUUCACGCAUUUCCCUUGGAUACUCCCCUCGGAUAACUGGGUCCAAAAACCUGCAUAUUUCACCAGCAUAA
RNAcentral lists this long non-coding RNA (13040 nucleotides) under Phaseolus vulgaris (common bean). Its description in RNAcentral is "long non-coding RNA (PVUL_LNC002752)". The record is from RNAcentral. Lineage: Eukaryota; Viridiplantae; Streptophyta; Magnoliopsida; Fabales; Fabaceae.